AUUGAACGCUGGCGGCAGGCCUAACACAUGCAAGUCGAGCGGAUGAAGGGAGCUUGCUCCUGGAUUCAGCGGCGGACGGGUGAGUAAUGCCUAGGAAUCUGCCUGGUAGUGGGGGAUAACGUCCGGAAACGGGCGCUAAUACCGCAUACGUUCUGAGGGAGAAAGUGGGGGAUCUUCGGACCUCACGCUAUCAGAUGAGCCUAGGUCGGAUUAGCUAGUUGGUGGGGUAAAGGCCUACCAAGGCGACGAUCCGUAACUGGUCUGAGAGGAUGAUCAGUCGCACUGGAACUGAGACACGGUCCAGACUCCUACGGGAGGCAGCAGUGGGGAAUAUUGGACAAUGGGCGAAAGCCUGAUCCAGCCAUGCCGCGUGUGUGAAGAAGGUCUUCGGAUUGUAAAGCACUUUAAGUUGGGAGGAAGGGCAGUAAGUUAAUACCUUGCUGUUUUGACGUUACCAACAGAAUAAGCACCGGCUAACUUCGUG
Molecule: ribosomal RNA, 484 nt
Filed under: uncultured bacterium
Lineage: Bacteria
Description: partial 16S ribosomal RNA
Rfam family: Bacterial small subunit ribosomal RNA
Source: RNAcentral